AUAAUGGGUCAGCGACUUAUAUUCUGUAGCAAGGUUAACCGAAUAGGGGAGCCGAAGGGAAACCGAGUCUUAACUGGGCGUUAAGUUGCAGGGUAUAGACCCGAAACCCGGUGAUCUAGCCAUGGGCAGGUUGAAGGUUGGGUAACACUAACUGGAGGACCGAACCGACUAAUGUUGAAAAAUUAGCGGAUGACUUGUGGCUGGGGGUGAAAGGCCAAUCAAACCGGGAGAUAGCUGGUUCUCCCCGAAAGCUAUUUAGGUAGCGCCUCGUGAAUUCAUCUCCGGGGGUAGAGCACUGUUUCGGCAAGGGGGUCAUCCCGACUUACCAACCCGAUGCAAACUGCGAAUACCGGAGAAUGUUAUCACGGGAGACACACGGCGGGUGCUAACGUCCGUCGUGAAGAGGGAAACAACCCAGACCGCCAGCUAAGGUCCCAAAGUCAUGGUUAAGUGGGAAACGAUGUGGGAAGGCCCAGACAGCCAGGAUGUUGGCUUAGAAGCAGCCAUCAUUUAAAGAAAGCGUAAUAGCUCACUGGUCGAGUCGGCCUGCGCGGAAGAUGUAACGGGGCUAAACCAUGCACCGAAGCUGCGGCAGCGACACUAUGUGUUGUUGGGUAGGGGAGCGUUCUGUAAGCCUGUGAAGGUGUACUGUGAGGUAUGCUGGAGGUAUCAGAAGUGCGAAUGCUGACAUAAGUAACGAUAAAGCGGGUGAAAAGCCCGCUCGCCGGAAGACCAAGGGUUCCUGUCCAACGUUAAUCGGGGCAGGGUGAGUCGACCCCUAAGGCGAGGCCGAAAGGCGUAGUCGAUGGGAAACAGGUUAAUAUUCCUGUACUUGGUGUUACUGCGAAGGGGGGACGGAGAAGGCUAUGUUGGCCGGGCGACGGUUGUCCCGGUUUAAGCGUGUAGGCUGGUUUUCCAGGCAAAUCCGGAAAAUCAAGGCUGAGGCGUGAUGACGAGGCACUACGGUGCUGAAGCAACAAAUGCCCUGCUUCCAGGAAAAGCCUCUAAGCAUCAGGUAACAUCAAAUCGUACCCCAAACCGACACAGGUGGUCAGGUAGAGAAUACCAAGGCGCUUGAGAGAACUCGGGUGAAGGAACUAGGCAAAAUGGUGCCGUAACUUCGGGAGAAGGCACGCUGAUAUGUAGGUGAAG
RNAcentral lists this ribosomal RNA (1152 nucleotides) under Escherichia coli. RNAcentral's name for it is "partial 23S ribosomal RNA". It matches the Rfam family "Bacterial large subunit ribosomal RNA", at positions 612 to 1767 of the family's 2925-position model. Lineage: Bacteria; Pseudomonadati; Pseudomonadota; Gammaproteobacteria; Enterobacterales; Enterobacteriaceae. The record is from RNAcentral.